Molecule: transfer RNA, 70 nt
Filed under: Marmota monax (woodchuck)
Lineage: Eukaryota; Metazoa; Chordata; Mammalia; Rodentia; Sciuridae
Description: tRNA.Ala
Rfam family: tRNA (bases 6-63)
About the family: Transfer RNA (tRNA) molecules are approximately 80 nucleotides in length. Their secondary structure includes four short double-helical elements and three loops (D, anti-codon, and T loops).
Source: RNAcentral
GGAUAUAGCUCAGCGGGUAGAGUGCUUGCCUUGCAUGCACAAGGCCCUGGGUUUGAUCCCCAGCAACACA